Long non-coding RNA from Acinonyx jubatus (cheetah), 1260 nucleotides. RefSeq lists it as uncharacterized. NCBI's taxonomy places the organism in Eukaryota, Metazoa, Chordata, Mammalia, Carnivora, Felidae. The record is from RefSeq and is a predicted model, not a curated record. The transcript has 3 exons.
GGAAACCUUGGGGUCCCACCAUCUCGUCUCCCCUUCACGGGACGAUGCCUGCGUGGGGUGGGGGGCUGUGGGGCCAUGGCCAUCCUGCACCCCGUCGGAGGCUGGCGAGGCUCCAGCCCCAGCAGGACGGAGCGGAGGGGCCUGCAGAGCUCGAGCUCUGCCUUCCGAGCGGCUGCUCAGCGACCGGCUGCCCACUUCACCUGAUUCUUCUGACUGUGUAGCUCUCUUCAGGGUUUGCACUGAGUAAGGCCACCUGCACAGGUCUGGGGGUCAGGACUUCAGCCUAAGAAUGUGGGGGACACAACUCAGCCCAUGCCCUGCACCUGCCCAGUGAGAACAGAGUGUGUUGAUGAGCAGGGACCAGGUGAGGAGGCGGGAGCCCAGCGAGCACCUUGGGGGAGGGGAGGCCGCACACGACCCAGAGAGGGGCUGUGGUGUCACCUGGCCCCGCCCAAUGAGUUAACAGGACACUUGGCCGCUGAAAACAGCUGUCAGUUCUUAUCUCGAGGUCUCUGUGGGCCUGGAAUCCGGGCUCUGCUCACCUGGGUGCCGGAGGCUGGGGCCGCAGUCUCAUCUGAAGGGUCCACGGGGAGGCCGGGGUGGGGGGUCUGCUUCCAAGUUCACACACGUGCCUGUGGGCAGGCCUCCGUCCCUCGCCGCGUGAGGCGUCUCGCCCAGGUCGGGAGCCACAGCCCUUUUAUAUCUGAUCCCGGGAAGGACGUCCAGUCAUUUGUGCUGCCUUCUGUUGUUCCAAGGGCCAUCUGCCGGCCCAGCCCAUGGGGAGCCGUGCACGUGAAGGGCCGCGUGCCCGGAGGUAGGAUUCUCGGGCUACCUUGGAGGCUGUCCACAUCCACCAGAGCGCUGGUCACCCAAGCCUCUGUUGGUGCCUCUCUGGCCUCUGUUUCCUCAGUGGCAGUGGGGUCCCUGACAGAUUAGCGGGGGGCUCUCCGCUGGCCUCGUGAACUUAAACCGCUGCUGCUGCCCGUUCUGAUGGCUUCAACGUGUCGCAUCCCUGACCUGAGCCGUCCUCUCCCCAGGCACCCAGGGGAGCCAUCUCGGCCUCCCUCGCCCCCGGGUCUCGGUGCCGACAGUCACCCUGCCUGCCCCAGAACCAUGGCGGGUCCGGCAGGAGCGCCUUAGUGUGGCCCUCAAAAAAGAGGGUCUCCCGCCCCCUGCUGGCGCCCGGCGGAAGUGUCAGCAAAUCGGGGUGGCUGGGGUGUCCCUGGAACAAAAGGAAGCUUGUUAGUUUCAGGCGAGACA